RNAcentral lists this ribosomal RNA (550 nucleotides) under uncultured bacterium. Its description in RNAcentral is "bacterial SSU rRNA". It matches the Rfam family "Bacterial small subunit ribosomal RNA", at positions 355 to 896 of the family's 1533-position model. The record is from RNAcentral.
UAGGGAAUCUUCGGCAAUGGACGGAAGUCUGACCGAGCAACGCCGCGUGAGUGAAGAAGGUUUUCGGAUCGUAAAGCUCUGUUGUAAGAGAAGAACGAGUGUGAGAGUGGAAAGUUCACACUGUGACGGUAUCUUACCAGAAAGGGACGGCUAACUGCGUGCCGGCAGCCGCGGUAAUACGUAGGUCCCGAGCGUUGUCCGGAUUUAUUGGGCGUAAAGCGAGCGCAGGCGGUUAGAUAAGUCUGAAGUUAAAGGCUGUGGCUUAACCAUAGUACGCUUUGGAAACUGUUUAACUUGAGUGCAAGAGGGGAGAGUGGAAUUCCAUGUGUAGCGGUGAAAUGCGUAGAUAUAUGGAGGAACACCGGUGGCGAAAGCGGCUCUCUGGCUUGUAACUGACGCUGAGGCUCGAAAGCGUGGGGAGCAAACAGGAUUAGAUACCCUGGUAGUCCACGCCGUAAACGAUGAGUGCUAGGUGUUAGACCCUUUCCGGGGUUUAGUGCCGUAGCUAACGCAUUAAGCACUCCGCCUGGGGAGUACGACCGCAAGGUUG